CCUACGGGAGGCAGCAGUGGGGAAUAUUGGGCAAUGGAGGAAACUCUGACCCAGCGACGCCGCGUGCGGGAUGAAGGCCUUCGGGUUGUAAACCGCUUUCAGUAGGGAAGAAGCGAAAGUGACGGUACCUACAAAAGAAGCACCGGCUAACUAUGUGCCAGCAGCCGCGGUAAUACAUAGGGUGCAAGCGUUGUCCGGAAUUAUUGGGCGUAAAGAGCUCGUAGGUCGUUUGUUACGUCGGAUGUGAAAACCUGAGGCUCAACCUCAGGCCUGCAUUCGAUACGGGCAAACUAGAGUUUGGUAGGGGAGACUGGAAUUCCUGGUGUAGCGGUGGAAUGCGCAGAUAUCAGGAGGAACACCAAUGGCGAAGGCAGGUCUCUGGGCCAAUACUGACACUGAGGAGCGAAAGUCUGGGGAGCGAACAGGAUUAGAUACCCUGGUAGUCCAGACCGUAAACGGUGGGCACUAGUUGUGGGAACCUUCCACGGUUUCUGCGACGCAGCUAACGCAUUAAGUGCCCCGCCUGGGGAGUACGAUCGCAAGAUUAAAACUCAAAUGAAUUGACGG
This 567-nucleotide ribosomal RNA is filed under the name uncultured bacterium. RNAcentral's name for it is "bacterial SSU rRNA". It matches the Rfam family "Bacterial small subunit ribosomal RNA", at positions 338 to 916 of the family's 1533-position model. The record is from RNAcentral.